CUUUCAAAAUCUGACCACAGCAUUUCAACCCAUUCGUCUGGGAAACUUAGAGUUGAUCACAGCCUGGACUUGCCUGGACAUGCUAGAGAUGGUUGUAUGGGAUUUUCUGACUCUGUCUUCAGGGCUACCACAAUAGUAGCCUGAAACUGGCUACAGCGGAAGUAUUUACACCACAGAAAUAGGGGAGGGAUGCUGAUGAUACUGACAAUGAUAAGGAACAACAAACAGAUGAACAAUACUACCAACUUCAUAGACUCAUUGUUUAAAGCACGGUGUCUGGCGCACAAAACCAAAUGGCACAGAUAUAUUCUGUCUGGUCUUCUUGGCACAUUUUGGAGAGAAGCCUGGACCCUGUGGUGUGCUACAUACCUCAGCCACUUUGAUGCUGAAGCAAAAAUGUAUUGAAAACUUAUGCUGCACACAGGCAGAGAUGUACAAUUUCUAAACAGAACCCCAGACCACGCCCAAAGCCUGCCAGUUCUUUUCAGCACCGUGGACAGCGAACAGAAAAUGCUCCCUGUAAACCCUGGUUUCUGCUGUAAAUGAAGGAAAAGGCAAAGCACCCACAGUGAAUCCUAACAGUGUCUCCUGAAAUUGUGUGCUUUCUUCAUUGUAAUUCUACCCAGUGACUGUGUAUAAUUCAUUUGUUCAUUCAGUGAAUGUGCUGAAAGACUAAUAAA
Long non-coding RNA from Fukomys damarensis (Damara mole-rat), 680 nucleotides. RefSeq lists it as uncharacterized. NCBI's taxonomy places the organism in Eukaryota, Metazoa, Chordata, Mammalia, Rodentia, Bathyergidae. The record is from RefSeq and is a predicted model, not a curated record. The transcript is spliced from 3 exons.